UCAUACUUCCUUUAGGUUUAAGGUGGAUCUCGUGGGUCUCUUUGCUUCCUCUUUUGCCAUCCAUAUUAACUUUGCACCCUAGUGUGCUUAGUCCUCAAGUGAUGCGAAAGUUUAGAAACCGGUUGCAUUAUUUCAAGAAAUGGGUUAAAAAGAUCAUUUUUUAGAGAAACAUGAGAAACCUAAUGCUGUGAAAGUGAUCGUGAUUUUUUUGUGCAAAAAGUAAACGGCCUCUUUGUAUUAUGUAGAGUUUUC
This 252-nucleotide long non-coding RNA is filed under the name Amborella trichopoda. RNAcentral's name for it is "long non-coding RNA (ATRI_LNC005195)". The record is from RNAcentral. Lineage: Eukaryota; Viridiplantae; Streptophyta; Magnoliopsida; Amborellales; Amborellaceae.